AAAAGAGCAAACUUAAAUCUACAACAACAAUUCAGCAUGUAUGUGUGUCUCAUGCACACGCACUAGAGAGUCUAAACAAAACACACCUUUUCAAACCUGAUAACCAACAAGGUUUAAAUACAAGAGUAGAGUAAACUUUCCCAGCAACACUAGAGAUAUCUACAGAAAGCAGUAUUAGACACAACCUGACAACUAAUAAGGUACAGAUACAAGAGAUUAGUUUCUCCCCAUCACCAACAUGUUCAGCAUCAUCAGUAUAAUCCCAAAAAUGAAACUUGAUCAGAAAUUAGCAAAUCUCAGUGUCAAACUUGAGA
RNAcentral lists this unclassified non-coding RNA (314 nucleotides) under Hevea brasiliensis (rubber tree). The record is from RNAcentral. Lineage: Eukaryota; Viridiplantae; Streptophyta; Magnoliopsida; Malpighiales; Euphorbiaceae.